Rhododendron vialii is the source of this 1335-nucleotide long non-coding RNA. RefSeq lists it as uncharacterized. The transcript has 2 exons. NCBI's taxonomy places the organism in Eukaryota, Viridiplantae, Streptophyta, Magnoliopsida, Ericales, Ericaceae. The record is from RefSeq and is a predicted model, not a curated record.
AUGAUACGUCGGUGGGGCUGCCUCCGAACUUAGGGCACCUGCAUCGUUGGCACGAAUCGCGCUUCUUGAAGUUCAUGUGCUGGCAUGAACUGCACAUCCAGUCUCCCCCUUCUCUGCUCAUUUUGAUUAUACUGGCCUGAAAAUGAAGAAAUAAGAUAAGUAGCAGUUGCACUGCUUAGGAGUAUUAGAGGAAAUUGCUGAAGGAAUUGGUGAUGUUACUUGAUGGGGUUGAGACGGUUUAUAUACUCUUUGAACCUGGCGAAUGGGUCCCUCGAUGUUAGCUUUUGAUUGUUUCCUUAAGAUGGGAUUUCAAUAGUGAAAAUUUCAGAUAAAACUGCCCCCUCUUAGUUCUGCCUCCAUUUUGGAACAGCAAUGUGUGGAGGUAUGGACUACUAAGUGCAUGCAUAGAAGCAUAUAUUUCCCCAAAAAAAAAAAAUCCCAAUAAUGCCCCUCUUUAUGUGAUUCCCCAUGCAUUAUUUGAAGAAAAAAGGCUUUGUAACAUUAUUCUCUUUUUCCAUGUCCAUUUCUAGUAAGGUGUUAUGAGGGGCAGUUGUUAUUUGAAAAAAGUUGGAAACAAGAAUUUCUCAUCUCCCUUGUCUUCUUUACAAAGGUGGCUCUCCUAUGUGUAAAAGAUAUACACAGUAACAAGCAAAUAAAACCUUCCCCUAGUAGGCACAGAGGGAAACUGUACAAGUUCUCCAUUUCGGAAUCAAUUCCUCUUAAUGCACAUCCAUUGUCAAAUUCUGUUCUGCCUUUGUUUCCAUUACUUUUCACCAAUAAUUCAAAGGCCCAUUUGAAGAUUCAUAUCCACUAGCAUUCUUUGCAUUUGCUUGCUCGUGUAUAUGUGUGUUUAUGAAUUAUAACUAGAAGACGCGCCCAAUUUUUUUCCCAAAAUUUUGCACUUUAAAUACAUGGUUACAUUACAUUGGACAAAAGAAAGGCUGAAUAAGACCUGUUGACAAUCCCAACGGGUAUUGGCUAGCAGAGAAUUUAAUCUAAGGAAAAAGAAUGUUCCCAGAAUUUUUCCCACGCGACCACCAAGUAAACAGGAAUCAGAAUAUUUUAGUUUAUUAAGUUGCGGAUCUGAUAAUCUAUCUUUAUAUUGCAGACUUGUUAACUAUUUGACCUACAUAUCGAAUGGGAUAAGUAAGAUCAGUGGUCUAUGUGUAUUAGGCUACUUUAGUUUAUUGCUUUUCUAUCUCCUAAAUUAGGAUUCGUUUUCCAUCGCAUUUUCUGCAUUCACGGAUUUGUAAAGGCAUUGUUUGGAGUUUUUUUUUUUCUUGGACAGGAUAAUCUCUAGGCCUCUAGGAAUAUACCACAUGGAGUUCUGAUUUU